AGAACAAGUUGACUCAGUUGAAACACCGAAGGAACCGGUAGCAGUAGGACCACCACCAAUAUUUGAAGACGAUGAUGAUGCAGCUGCUGCUGGGUAUAGGUGGUCUGUGGUUGCGGAUUUCAAACGCUUGGGAUCUCGAGACGACGAAGAGGAGGAAUCAAUUUGAUGAGGUUGGGCAAAUACGGACUUACCAGGAAUAGCUUUGAGAUCGUAAUCAGAAGAUGAAGAGUCUUCAAACACCACAUCUCGACUGUGCUUGUUUGUUUUCCGCUGCUCUUGGUGACGUUGAUGGGUAUGGUCGGCGAAAUCAAUAGAGGUGAUGGUGGAAGAUUCAGGAUGAGUGAAAAAUGAAUCAUCUAUAGAAGGCUGUGCAGGCAUAACAACAGAAUCAAAAUUGGGAUUUGGGUUGAGCUCUGAGAGCAUACUUUCUAGCCAAGUGGAUAGAUCGGAGGGAUUAUAAUGGACAGUUUCACAAGCAAGAUGAGAAAUACCAUCUUCUUGUACAUGACCCAUAACUUCUUGUAGCUGUUCAAGCUUCUGGGCGACCUCAACCAUGUCAGAUGACCUUACCUUGUAACCCAAAACAGCCAAAAGCUCAUCCAUCCCACCAUCAGCUUGAGCAUCGUCUUCCCACAUCUUGGCUUUGCAAGAAGUGUCAUCAUUAGUAUUGGUAUUAACAGAUGGCAUGGUAGAAUAGCCAGAAGAAGAGCUGCCAGCAGAAGCUGGGUCUAACCGAGGAUGGAGAUUUGGGUGUUCCCUUUUCAUGAUUGAUUCGUUUGUUUUUUGGAUGUCUGCUCUUGGUUUUAGGAUAUGGGUUUCUGAGAUUGCGAGUAGUGAGUGGCUGUGCUCAAAAACCAAAGAGAGCUGCUGCGAAUGGGUGAGGGUGAAUGAGGAAUCUGGACAUUGGGGAUUGGGUGUUUUGCUUGGUUUUUCACCAGUACUAGAACUUCGUACCACGAAAAAGGUAAUACACGAAGGGAAAGAAAGAAGGCACAAACAAGGAGGGCGGCCUGGCCUCUAUAUGUUACAAAUACCACGGCCAGUUCAUUUAAUUUAAUUAAUUUAUUUUGAGAGCUGAAAUUCACUGCGAUCUCAAGCCAUGGUUCUUUGUCCAGCUGAGGGCUUCUCUGAAGGAGAGAGCUUCAGCAAUCUAAUCCAGAAGGUCCAAAAGCUCUACCAAACAAGCUUUGAUCAAUUGACCAUUAUCGCUCUGAUCAUGCCUCUAUCCAGGAGAAGAGAUGCAUUUAUGUUGCGUUUGAGGAAACCGAGUGUAGGUUUAGUCUAAGAUGAAGAAGCUAGGAUGAGGUCUAGAGAGCAGCUAACUAGCUAGGUGAGAAGGGAGGCUCGAGCCUCUGGCUGAUGACUACUGGUGGAGGUAGCUCGAAACAAAUGAUGUAAUUUGGAAAUUGUUGCUUGUGGAAUCGUUCCACAACAAAAAUGAUAUCGUUAAUCAUCUAAUGUUGUUGCUGUGUCUAAAAGAAGGGAGAAUUCAAUCCGUUGUAAUAGAAGGGAAAACCUUAUUUUGACAUGAUAUAUUUUGAGUGUACAAUAAAUUGAC
RNAcentral lists this unclassified non-coding RNA (1558 nucleotides) under Hevea brasiliensis (rubber tree). Lineage: Eukaryota; Viridiplantae; Streptophyta; Magnoliopsida; Malpighiales; Euphorbiaceae. The record is from RNAcentral.